This 440-nucleotide ribosomal RNA is filed under the name uncultured bacterium. RNAcentral's name for it is "partial 16S ribosomal RNA". It matches the Rfam family "Bacterial small subunit ribosomal RNA", at positions 338 to 795 of the family's 1533-position model. The record is from RNAcentral.
CCUACGGGAGGCUGCAGUGGGGAAUAUUGCACAAUGGGGGAAACCCUGAUGCAGUGACGCCGCGUGAGUGAAGAAGGAAUUCGGUAUGUAAAGCUCUAUCAGCAGGGAAGAAAAUGACGGUUACUGAGUAAGAAGCCCCGGCUAACUACGGGCCAGCAGCCGCGGUAAUACGUAGGGGGCAAGCGUUAUCCGGAUUUACUGGGUGUAAAGGGAGCGUAGACGGCAGUGCAAGUCUGGAGUGAAAGUCCGGGGCUCAACCCCCGGACUGCUCUGGAAACUGUACGGCUUGAGUGCAGGAGAGGUAAGUGGAAUUCCUAGUGUAGCGGUGAAAUGCGUAGAUAUUAGGAGGAACACCAGUGGCGAAGGCGGCUUACUGGACUGUAACUGGCGUUGAGGCUCGAAAGCGUGGGGAGCAAACAGGAUUAGAUACCCGAGUAGUC